RNAcentral lists this ribosomal RNA (274 nucleotides) under uncultured bacterium. Its description in RNAcentral is "partial 16S ribosomal RNA". It matches the Rfam family "Bacterial small subunit ribosomal RNA", at positions 84 to 354 of the family's 1533-position model. The record is from RNAcentral.
CCCGCCGGCGACCGGCGCACGGGUGAGUAACACGUAUGAAACCUGCCCGUAGCAGGGGGAUAAGCGGAAGAAAUUCCGUCUAAUACCGCGUAACAACCCGAGGAGGCAUCUCCUCGGGUUUAAAGGAAGCGAUUCCGGCUACGGAUGGUCAUGCGUCGCAUUAGCUAGUUGGCGGGGUAACGGCCCACCAAGGCGACGAUGCGUAGGGGUUCUGAGAGGAAGGUCCCCCACACUGGUGCUGAGACACGGACCAGACUCCUACGGGAGGCAGCAG